This is an RNA transcript of Paralichthys olivaceus (Japanese flounder), 3754 nucleotides long. It is a transcript of the gene named zinc finger protein DPF3-like, with no coding region annotated. NCBI's taxonomy places the organism in Eukaryota, Metazoa, Chordata, Actinopteri, Pleuronectiformes, Paralichthyidae. The record is from RefSeq and is a predicted model, not a curated record.
AUUGGCCAAUUCCCGUAGGUUUCCCUCAGAACUGCAAGACGCCGAUAUUGCGUUACAUGGUAGCAAAAUGGCGGCUGUCAUUCAGAACCCACUAAAAGCGUUGGGCGACCAAUUCUAUAAGGAGGCCAUCGAGCAGUGUCGCAGCUACAAUGCCCGCCUGUGUGCUGAACGCAGCGUCCGCCUGCCAUUCCUCGACUCACAAACCGGUGUGGCCCAGAACAACUGCUACAUCUGGAUGGAGCGGCACCACCGUAGCCCUGGGGUUUCAGCUGGGCAGAUGUACACGUACCCCGCCCGCUGCUGGAGAAAGAAAAGACGGCUGCACAAUGCCACGGAUCCCCGCCUGGGCAUCUAUGGUCUGCAGCUCGACGGCAGCCUCAUGUCCAAGGACACCUUACCCACUCAGAGCACCACACUGGAGGCUCUGCUGCGAGGAGAGGGUCUAGACAAGAGGAACGCUAAGAAUGACGAGGAGAGUCUGCUGGAGAUCCAGAGGGUUCUGGAAGCAGACGCAGCAGAAGACGCUUUCAACGAUGAUGACGACUACGAGGUGGACACUCCCAAAAGGAGACAUCGGGGCAAAGGAAGAGGUCGGGGUUCAGGCCGGAGGAGGACAGACCUGGAUGAUGACAAGCCAUACGUCUGUGACAACAGAUACAAACAAAAGCAGAACUCAAAAUCUUCGACCUCAGUCUGUGCAAAGCGCUACAGGAACCGUACAGGACUAAGUUACCACUACACCCAUUCCCACCUGGCAGAGGACAGAGCUGGAGAGAGGAAUACGGUGGCGUCCAGAUCACCCUCUGUACCACAGACUGAAAGACACAAACGUCCAAAGGGUCCAGGUGGGACGAGCAUUCCCAGCAACUACUGUAAUAAAUGCCAGGGCAAGAAAAUGGGUAAAUCUGGGUCUCCCUACUCAGCCUGCCAUUGCACAACUGCCCGCGGAGAAGAGAAGGAAGACGGGACCUUCACAGGAGCUGAGGAGCUUUUCGGCACCACCUCAGAGAGCGACACUUCCACCUUUCACGGCUUUGAGGACGACGAGCUGGAGGAGCCCGCCACAAAUAGCAACGGAAUAACCAAUCGACACAGAUAGAGCGAACCUUUUAGAUUUCAAGAGACAAUAUUUUGUUUUAUAUAUGGAUUAACCUCUGGCAAAAAUUUGCUGCUUCUUUUUCAAUGUUUUUUUGUUUGCAGAAAGCACAAAGUGAUAAUUUCAGGACAUAAAUGCAAGUGGUAUUUUAUCUACUGAACAUUGUUGAAUAAUUUAUGAACUCCCUUUUUUUAUAUAUAAAUAUAUAUAUUAACUUUUAAGGCAAUGAACAACUCAGUGUUUGUUGACGAGUGACUCGGCCUUCAUGCAAAACAGAAGAUGAUUUUUGGAGUUUUUUCCCCCCCUCACUGGAGCAGAAGAAGCAUAAAUAUGAUGAACAAAAAACACUGGAGAAAUCAGAAAAUUGAACAAGUGAAAUUUUUGAAGACGUGAAUAUUCGUUUGUGGGUUGAUUGAAUGUCGCUGCAGACCCAUACUUGAGCUACAAGAUGUUUUUGAAUCAGCAGUGGCUGAUGCUAUGAAGGCUUCCUCUUCUGCUCUAACUUUGGAUGAAACUUGUAUGAAAAUGAAGGAACCAAUGAAAGGACUGCCACAGGCCACUGGAAGUGUUUGGAUUAAGAAGUCUAUUAACUUAAGUCUUUACAGAUACCGUGUAGUUAUAAAAUGAAAGGAGCACUCAGCACAUUGGCCCAGCGGUGGGGGUGACUAGUGAAGAAGAGGAUUUAACCCUCAGAAACUAAUGAGCCUUCAACUCCCUCCUGGUUUGGGCCUAAAACAACUGACUGAAAUGGACAAACACACGUCCACCUGUUCUAUAGGCCGUGUGGCUUAAUUGAACUGCUCCCUCGACGAUAUGUAUUGAUCCCUUCUCAACAUUUGAUCUGUGACUACAUCCAGCUUCAUUUUAUCCUCUCUGCACUGUGUUGGAGCUCCACUGAACUAUGGGAACACUAAAGGCCAGGCCUUUGGACUGUUUAGUGCCCACCGGGUACAUUUGGGGCCCCCACGGCCUAGUCUGCCCACUCCUGCUCCGUGACUGUGUCUGCUGUGUGAUCCGAUGUGACACUAAGACGUCAUUAUCCUCAUCACUGUGCCAGCCCGCCGCUCUGCACUGGAAACCAGCUCUGACAGCCAUGACCCUCCAACCUGAUUGGACCAGUGACCCUCUGACCCCCAGCCAUAGAGAUGGUGCUCGAAUCCACCACUAUUACAUUCAGACCUCUGGACUACUGUAUUAAUACUCUGACAUGGACGCAAAGGUUUUCUGCUUCUGUCCCUCUGUCUGUUUUGCUAUAUCUCUUCUGCCUCUCUCCUCUCUAUUGGGUCGCAGUAAUUGAGCUCUUUUUUUCAUCUUUUCUCUGUUGUAUAAUAUUUCUAUGUUUUGAACUCUUUCAAGUUUGAUUAGAAUGACUUCUUGGGUUUGUUCAGACUGUAUUGAUACCUCUGUCCUGAUCAGGUGCACAAUAGCCACAACUACUCAGGCAUCUUUCAUUUCCUCUGCUGUUGAUUGUUCAGCCAUUCAGCCCUGAUUCAUGUGAUUGUAUUCAGUUGGCAAGGAGGGACAGUAACGCCACACAAGGAUCCCAUUAUAAUCAACUACCAGGAGGGAUCCGGGACGCCGCAGUCUCGUGCUAUAGGAAAAAGAAUAACAAGCUUCACCUCUCUGUCUCUGUGCUGAAUUUACCCGGUGUCACGCUCGCCAUCCACUUUUUGCCUAAAAUCUACAGCCUCAGUAGAUUUUGCCGAGAGUGAGAUUCAUCUCAGAUGCAAUUAAAAAACAAUAUAGUUGCUACAGAUAAAUAAACUCCUCAGAUCUACGUACUUACUGAGAAGUGAAAACUGUAUAAACCCAGUUAUGUGACAUCUCUGUUGAAUGCUUUUUCGAGGGCCCAUUUGCUUUGACAUUUAGAAGGUGCUUUAAGUACUGUAAAAAAAGCCUUUUAGUUCUAUAGGUUGCACAUGCUGCAUAAGAGGUCCACAUCCUUCCAUGUAAUUAUUCAGUAUCACUGCAAUGUAAUGAUAGCUGCUCCGUUUUUGAAGCUAACCAUUAAUCCUAUGUGUUUGUUUUUGACUUUCUUGUGCAUUCAAACCAACGUUCUUCACUUCCCUCAGGGACCCUCCACAUCGCAGUUUUAUCUCCUCUGGACAACCAGAGGAUCUGAGACCUGUCAGUUGUCUCGUCUUCAUCUUUCCACAUCGCAGUUUUAUCUCCUCUGGACAAACAGAGGAUCUGAGACCUGUCUCGUCUUCGUCUCUUGUGUCGGUUACAUGGCGUUUCUACAGUUACAACUGUGUCUUCUAUCCUCUAAAGUCACGCCAGUAAGUGAAAAGCAUGAUGUGUCAUCAGUCAUAACUUGCUCAAUGUUGUACAAACAGGCCUCGUGUGGUGCAGUUCUGAACAAAGAGGAGAAGCUCUGAAAUGCAAACGUAAGCGAUGUCCGUUUCAAAUAACGUGUCACCAAUCAUUGAAUAGCCUGUAUACCUCGUCAAAAGACACAGCAAUAGGUCCCGGUGCUCCCCUGUCAACCCUGCCAGGGGCGGAGAGGGAGGAUCGGGGUGGGAACGGAGCCAAGAGGAGAUGAAAUGGACAUGACUGGGCAUUUGUCUCAUCUUCAGCUAUAAAUACAAGGCGAACUGGAGAGAAUGAAGAAGUCUUCGUUUGUUAAACUAUUUUUAUUGUUCUGAGAAAAAUAAAGAA